This 3179-nucleotide ribosomal RNA is filed under the name Candidatus Uhrbacteria bacterium. RNAcentral describes it as "23S ribosomal RNA". It matches the Rfam family "Bacterial large subunit ribosomal RNA". The record is from RNAcentral. Lineage: Bacteria; Candidatus Uhriibacteriota.
GAUUAAACAAUUAAGUGCAUAUGGCGGAUGCCUCGACAUGGAAAGCCGAUGAAGGACGUAGCAGCCUGCGAAAAGCCUCGGAUAGGUGGCAAGCAACCUUUGACCCGGGGAUUUCCGAAUGGGGAAACCCAGUCUCGUAAAGCGAGACUAUCAUAUACUGAAUUCAUAGGUAUAUGAGGUGAACCUGGGGAAUUGAAACAUCUUAGUACCCAGAGGAAAAGAAAAAAUUUCCCGCCGUUGGCGGGACCAUUCCCAGAGUAGUGGCGAGCGAAAUGGGAAGAGCCUAAACCUAGUUAGUGUUGCGUUUAAGGAAACUUGUUUUUUAACUCGUGGAAUUAGGCGCUUAAAGGUGUAAGCCGUUGCUGAUUAGGCGUAGUAAGGUAGUAACGUUAGAUUUCUUACAAAAUCUAGACAAAGAUAAUUAUUAUAACUUCCGUAGCAGAAUCCUUUGGAAAAAGGAGCCGUAGAGGGUGAUAGCCCCGUAUCGCGAAACGGGUUAUAACUUUGUGGUUACUAACCUUGAGUAGCACAGGCCCCGUGAAAUCCUGUGUGAAUCAUCCAUGACUAUGUGGAAAGGCUAAAUACUCCUCCAUGAUCGAUAGUGAACAAGUACCGUGAGGGAAAGGUGAAAAGCAUCCCUGUUAGGGAGAUGAAAUAGUAUCUGAAACCAUAUGCUUACAAAGAGUCAACGCCGUUGCUUCGCAACGGGAAACUCAAAAUUCUAAAUUCUAAAUCCUAAACAAAUCCAAAUGUUUUAAAUUCAAAAUUCAAAAUAAGUUUUAAAAUUUGAAUUUUGGUUUUUAAAAAUUGUUUAGAAUUUCGGAUUUUGGAUUUGGGAUUUCCGCUGCGGAGCAGCGGUUAUGGCGUGCCUAUUGAAGAAUGAGCCAACGAGUUAUUGUAUGUUGUGCGUUUAAGUCCGUAAAGGACGAAGGCAAAGUGAAAGCGAGGGUUAAUAGCCCGUUUAAGUUAAUUAGUUACUAGCUGUCUCUUGGCUAUUGGCUAAUUAACUUUUGACAGCAUGCAAUAGACCCGAAGCCGGGUGAGCUAGCCAUGGCCAGGGUGAAACCAGUGUAACAGCUGGUGGAAGCCCGAACCCUAGUGCCGUGCAAAACACAGGGAUGAGCUGUGGCUAGAGGUGAAAUGCUAAUCGAACUCGGCAAUAGCUGGUUCUCCCCGAAAUAGCUUUAGGGCUAGCCUCUUCGAAUUUUCUUGGGGGUAGAGCACUGAAUGGGGACAGGGGGUAACCUACUGUUCCUAAUCAAACUCCGAAUACCAAGAAACCUCGCGAAGAGAGUCAGACUAUGGGGGCUAAGCUCCAUCAGUCUAAAGGGAAACAGCCCAGACCGCCAUUUAAGGUCCCUAAAUCCAGAUUAAGUGUAAAAGGUGGUGGGACGACUUUUACAACCAGGAGGUUGGCUUAGAAGCAGCCAUCCUUUAAAGAAAGCGUAACAGCUCACUGGUCAAGUUGUCUUGCGCCGAAAAUGUAUCGGGGCUAAAUCUGGUACCGAAAAUGCGGCUCCUCGCUUUUUAGCGAGGGGGGUAGGGGAGCAUUCCAUAACCGUUGAAGCAGUUUUGUGAGAAAUUGUGGAGGUUAUGGAAGAGAGAAUGUUGGCAUGAGUAACAAAAAUACAGGUGAAAACCCUGUACACCGUAAGUCUAAGGUUUCCUGGGCAACGCAAAUCGACCCAGGGUUAGUCGGUCCUAAGGCGAGGCCGAAAGGCGUAGUCGAUGGACGAGCUGGUUAAUAUUCCAGCACUACUAUUGGUUUUCGAUGGGAUGACGCAGUUUAUGAGAUUAAGCGUUUUUUGGCUACAGGCGUUGCUAGUAAUUGAGUGAUAUUUGUCAAAUGCAAUUAUCAUCAGCUCAAGAUCUGGCAAAAGGCAAAGCAUUAGCCGAGCCAAUUUAAUCAAUUAAGCUGCCUAGAAAAGUCUCUAGAGCUAAGCUGAUAGUAACCGUACCGUAAACCGACACAGGUAGACGGGCAUAAGUGUGCCAAGGUGUACGAGAGAAUCCUCGUUUAGGAACUCGGCAAAACAGCGGCCGUAACUUUGGGAUAAGGCCUUCCCGCCUUUGGCGGGACGCAGCUAAAGACGCCAAGCGACUGUUUACCAAAAACACAGGUCCCUGCGAAAGCGCAAGCUUAUGUAUAGGGGCUGAUGCCUGGCCAGUGUCCGAACGUUAAGGGGAGGGGUGCAAGCUCUGAACCGAAGCGCGGAUGAACGCCGGCCGUAACUAUAACGGUCCUAAGGUAGCGAAAUUCCUUGUCGGGUGAGUUCCGACCUGCACGAAUGGCAUAACGACUUGGCGACUGUCUCAACGAGGAACUCGGUGAAAUUGCAAGACGAGUAAAGAUGCUCGUUACCCGUGGCUGGACGAAAAGACCCCGUGAAGCUUUACUACAACUUGAUAUUGGAUUAAGGUUAAACAUGUUCAGCAUAGGUGGGAGCCUUGGCAACAAUGAGAUACCACCCUUGCUUAAUUUUAAUUCUAAUCUGCGUCCGUGAAUCCGGAUGCGGAGACAGUAUCUGGUGGGUAGUUUAACUGGGGCGGUUGCCUCCCAAACAGUAACGGAGGCGUUCACAAAGGUCAGCUAGGUUCCGAUGGAAACGGAACUGAUAGUGUAUAGGCAAAAGCUGGCUUUACUGCAAUUCCUACAAGAAGAGCAGUUGCGAAAGCAGGACUAAGUGAUCCGACCGUGCGAUAUAGGACGGCGGAAGCUCAACGGAUAAAAGCUACUCCGGGGAUAACAGGCUAGUCUGGUCCAAGCGUCCACAGCGACGACCAGGUUCGGCACCUCGAUGUCGGCUCGUCGCAUCCUGGAGCUGUAGAAGGUUCCAAGGGUUUGGCUGUUCGCCAAUUAAAGCGGCACGCGAGCUGGGUUCAGAACGUCGUGAGACAGUUCGGUCUCCUAUCCGCCACGGGCGUUGAAACUUGAGAGGGCGCUUCCCUAGUACGAGAGGACCGGGAAGCACGGACCUCUAGUGUACCAGCUGUUCUGCCAAGGGCAUUGCUGGGUAGCUACGUUCGGUUUGGAUAAACGCUGAAAGCAUCUAAGCGUGAAGCUGUCCUCAAGAUUAGGUUUCUUAGGAUCCUGGGAGAUGACCAGGUUGAUAGGCGCUAAGUAUAAGACCAGUAAUGGUUUUAGCUGAGGCGUACUAAUAUUCCAUUUGUUUAAUCAC